CAGAUCCGAUUCGGAUUCAUUUCAGUAGCAAAGCAGAGCACGAGCAGGAAACACAUCAAUUAGUCUCUAAACAAAAUUAAGGACAGGAAGAAUCGCAGCAGCCCAUGAAGACACUAUACAUUGAUUGGCGCAAAACAUAUGUUCAGUGGGGCCAUAUGACGUCUUAUUUGAGCGACUUCAUAGAACGCCUAUUUCUGUGACGUUGUGGUCGGCCAUGGUGAGUGAAUUUUUCGUCAUACGACCCCAUGGCACAUAUGUUUCGCGCCACCCAAUCUAUGGUAUUUUCGUCUGCUGCUGCGAUGAAGAGCCGUCCAUUGUACUGUCAUAGGAGUGACCUCAUUAAGUUGAAAUCCCGAAAAAUCCCAAAGAAGUCUUCCAGCAGAUUCCAAAAGUUUUGGCAUUCAAGGAAGAAACGAGCAAAACAAAGGACCUGUUCUCUGGGAGUAUGUUCACGUAAGGGGGCUGCUGUCCAUUCCAUUUCCGAUUUCACCGAGCGUGGUCUGGAUUUAAUGUCGCAGCCUAGCAUACCGCAUGCCUCCUCCAUACAUCCACACGAGGGGCUUUCUACACUCUCCUCACUCGACUGAAUAUUCAGUCACUGAAUUUUCCCUAUUCCUAAUACUUACCGUUUAGUCUUUGUGGGUUUUCCAUGUCCCUGGCACUCAAUCGUGGAUGGCUGUACGCAUUCGCUACUGGAUCCUGAGGAUAGCUCACUGACGGAUGAUUCGCUUCCUUCGAGCGACACAACUUCAAUACUUGGGUCUGACACCGAAUUAUCGAUAUCCCCGGCUUCGAGAGAAAAUAGUAUCAAGCACACAAAAUUGUUGCCUUCAUAGCAAGACACAACCGGCUUAAUUUGUUUCUUGUUGCCUAGACCAGCAACUUCUGCUAUGAGAUCUGAACCGGCCAACGUUACAUCUGAAGCAGAAAUCUCCAAUGUUCCCCGCUGAAUUUUGACCAGACUAUCGAACUGUCUUAAGCUUAUAUAUGGUAGCUGAGAUCGGUACUUUCAUGACCAAUUGCUGGAAAAGAACACUUGGUCACGAUUACAAAAUAAGCAAAGCAAGGUUUUUAGUUGAGUUCACGAAGUCGAAUGAUUGAAGUACUGUACUCUCUGAACGAGUCGAAUUUUACAAAGGUCCCAGGAUUUCUUCCGGAGGAUGGCCCAAUGCCAGAAGACUGGCUACCGUACCGGACGACUGGAAUUCAAUGCUUGAGCUGAGUUGGGCGCUCGUUCAAAACCAACUGAGACCAACUUGGCCGCACAACUUGAUAUGGAACGGAAAUUACUGUGGUUCUUCUUAAAACUACCUGGUCGAACACGAUGUCGCAACCGGAAGAGAUCCUGUUUGCUUAUAUAAAAAAGUGAAUAAAUUUUGCAUUUUUUGUAUAAAUUAA
Drosophila willistoni is the source of this 1398-nucleotide long non-coding RNA. RefSeq lists it as uncharacterized. Lineage: Eukaryota; Metazoa; Arthropoda; Insecta; Diptera; Drosophilidae. The transcript is spliced from 3 exons. The record is from RefSeq and is a predicted model, not a curated record.